Non-coding RNA from Acanthosepion pharaonis, 108 nucleotides. The record is from the annotation of a GenBank genome assembly. Lineage: Eukaryota; Metazoa; Mollusca; Cephalopoda; Sepiida; Sepiidae.
UUACGGCCAUAUCACGUUGAAAUGCUGAUUGCCGUACGAUCACUGAAGUUAAGAAAAGUCGAGCCUGCUCAGUACCUAGAUGGGUGACUGCUUGGGAAUACUCGGGGC